RNAcentral lists this ribosomal RNA (484 nucleotides) under uncultured bacterium. RNAcentral describes it as "partial 16S ribosomal RNA". It matches the Rfam family "Bacterial small subunit ribosomal RNA", at positions 30 to 507 of the family's 1533-position model. The record is from RNAcentral.
AUUGAACGCUGGCGGCAGGCCUAACACAUGCAAGUCGAGCGGAUGAAGGGAGCUUGCUCCUGGAUUCAGCGGCGGACGGGUGAGUAAUGCCUAGGAAUCUGCCUGGUAGUGGGGGAUAACGUCCGGAAACGGGCGCUAAUACCGCAUACGUCCUGAGGGAGAAAGUGGGGGAUCUUCGGACCUCACGCUAUCAGAUGAGCCUAGGUCGGAUUAGCUAGUUGGUGGGGUAAAGGCCUACCAAGGCGACGAUCCGUAACUGGUCUGAGAGGAUGAUCAGUCGCACUGGAACUGAGACACGGUCCAGACUCCUACGGGAGGCAGCAGUGGGGAAUAUUGGACAAUGGGCGAAAGCCUGAUCCAGCCAUGCCGCGUGUGUGAAGAAGGUCUUCGGAUUGUAAAGCACUUUAAGUUGGGAGGAAGGGCAGUAAGUUAUUACCUUGCUGUUUUGACGUUACCAACAGAAUAAGCACCGGCUAACUUCGUG